RNAcentral lists this ribosomal RNA (825 nucleotides) under uncultured Cortinariaceae. Its description in RNAcentral is "eukaryotic LSU rRNA". The stretch from base 513 to 825 matches the Rfam family "Eukaryotic large subunit ribosomal RNA", at positions 1 to 307 of the family's 3401-position model. Lineage: Eukaryota; Fungi; Basidiomycota; Agaricomycetes; Agaricales; Cortinariaceae. The record is from RNAcentral.
UUUCCGAGGCAACUCGGAUCGGGAGGACUUGCUGGCACUAGCUGGCUUUCCUUGCAUUUCCAAGUCUAUGUUUUUUCAUAUACCCCAUUGAAUGUAACAGAAUGUAACAUAUUGGGCCUUGUGCCUAUAAAAACUUAUACAACUUUCAGCAACGGAUCUCUUGGCUCUCGCAUCGAUGAAGAACGCAGCGAAAUGCGAUAAGUAAUGUGAAUUGCAGAAUUCAGUGAAUCAUCGAAUCUUUGAACGCACCUUGCGCUCCUUGGUAUUCCGAGGAGCAUGCCUGUUUGAGUGUCAUUAAAUUCUCAACUAUUAUCAGCUUUUGCUGAUGAUGGCUUGGAUAUGGGGGUUUAUUUUGCUGGCUUCACAGAAUGUCAGCUCCCCUUAAAUGCAUUAGCCGGUGCCCCGCGUGGACUGUCUAUUGGUGUGAUAAUUAUCUACGCCGUGGACAUCUACAAUCAUAUGGGUUUGCGCUGCUUCCAACCGUCUGUUUACUCAGACAAUACAUGACAAUUUGACCUCAAAUCAGGUAGGACUACCCGCUGAACUUAAGCAUAUCAAUAAGCGGAGGAAAAGAAACUAACAAGGAUUCCCCUAGUAACUGCGAGUGAAGCGGGAAAAGCUCAAAUUUAAAAUCUGGCGGUCUCCGGCCGUCCGAGUUGUAAUCUAGAGAAGUGUUAUCCGCGCUGGACCGUGUACAAGUCUCCUGGAAUGGAGCGUCAUAGAGGGUGAGAAUCCCGUCUUUGACACGGACUGCCAGGGCUUUGUGAUGCGCUCUCAAAGAGUCGAGUUGUUUGGGAAUGCAGCUCAAAACGGGUGGAAAAGGCC